UUGCAUUAUACAGUUAAUUAAUAUAAAGAUAUUAUAAUGAGCCUCUUAUGCGAAAUUUUUAUGGUAUGAAACAUUGUCGGUAACUAUUGUAAUGUAUAUUGAUAAAACCAUGAAAGAUAUUACUAUAAAAGGAUUUGAUCGUUGUCAUUUUUUUGAAUCUUGCACUCUUUAAGUUCGCCCCUCCCCCUAACAAAUCCUGGCUUCGCCACUG
This 211-nucleotide long non-coding RNA is filed under the name Malus domestica (apple). RNAcentral describes it as "long non-coding RNA (MDOM_LNC004835)". The record is from RNAcentral. Lineage: Eukaryota; Viridiplantae; Streptophyta; Magnoliopsida; Rosales; Rosaceae.